Molecule: long non-coding RNA, 302 nt
Organism: Poecilia latipinna (sailfin molly)
Lineage: Eukaryota; Metazoa; Chordata; Actinopteri; Cyprinodontiformes; Poeciliidae
Exons: 3
Source: RefSeq, a predicted model, not a curated record
AGAGACGAACAUCAUGACGAAUCUCCUACUUACCUCCCCCUGGAGAUUUUUAACCAUUUUCACUCUGUUGUUCUGGAUGGUUGGACUGAUUCUCUACAAGAAAUGCAAAGACAUGAAAAAUGAAAUUGCACAAAUAUGAUCCAAAGGACACAAUUUAUGCCUUUGUUAACAAACCCAGGAAGAGGAAAGGGUCAAAGGUUUCCUCAGCUGCCACCAAAGGAAGUCCAUCAGAGCAGCAGUCAGUUUACUCUUCAGUCGCCUUUAAAACUUAAAUUAGUUAUUUUAUGGAGCUAAUCUCAGCU